Molecule: long non-coding RNA, 109 nt
Organism: Etheostoma spectabile (orangethroat darter)
Lineage: Eukaryota; Metazoa; Chordata; Actinopteri; Perciformes; Percidae
Exons: 3
Source: RefSeq, a predicted model, not a curated record
GUUUUCAGGUAACGUUACUGAUGACGUUCAAACAGGCCUGCUUGUGUGUUUUGAGAAAUAUCUUUAUACUGCAAGGCUAUAUUCAUUUUAUUUUUAUUUGUUAUUUUUA